UACGAAGGGGGCUAGCGUUGCUCGGAAUCACUGGGCGUAAAGCGCACGUAGGCGGAUCGUUAAGUCAGGGGUGAAAUCCUGGGGCUCAACCUCAGAACUGCCCUUGAUACUGGCGAUCUCGAGUUCGAGAGAGGUUGGUGGAACUCCGAGUGUAGAGGUGAAAUUCGUAGAUAUUCGGAAGAACACCAGUGGCGAAGGCGGCCAACUGGCUCGAUACUGACGCUGAGGUGCGAAAGCGUGGGGAGCAAACAGG
This 253-nucleotide ribosomal RNA is filed under the name uncultured bacterium. RNAcentral describes it as "partial 16S ribosomal RNA". It matches the Rfam family "Bacterial small subunit ribosomal RNA", at positions 524 to 776 of the family's 1533-position model. The record is from RNAcentral. RNAcentral also lists the same sequence under 1 other name.